This is a long non-coding RNA of Trichomycterus rosablanca, 433 nucleotides long. RefSeq lists it as uncharacterized. The record is from RefSeq and is a predicted model, not a curated record. The transcript is spliced from 3 exons. NCBI's taxonomy places the organism in Eukaryota, Metazoa, Chordata, Actinopteri, Siluriformes, Trichomycteridae.
CAAGGUUCAUCAGUUCACAAGGUUAUAUUAAACACAGUCUUGGACAAAUUAGUGUCUCCAGUUCACCUCACUGGCAUGUCUUUGGACUGUGGGAGGAAACCGGAGCAUUGGGAGGAAACCGGAGCAUCCGGAGGAAACCCACGCAGACACGGGGAGAACAUGCAAACUACACACAGAAAGGACCCGGACCGCCCAACCUGGGGAUCGAACCCAGGACCUUCUUGCUGUGAGGCGACAGUGCUAUCCACUUAGCCCCCCAUACAAAAGAUGUAAAUCCAUCACAGCGCCUCUGCAACCUCCCUGUAUGUAGAUGCCCGACCGGCUGGUAGCAGUGCUAGGGAUUCGAACCCUGGAUCCUAGCGACCCCAGAAUCAAUACAGCACAACCACACAGAAAAACCGAAGACUAAAAUAUAUUUACAGGUUUCAGGAAG